AGCAAUGAGAGAAAUGACACCACAUUUGAUGAGAGUACAAACCAACCAAGAAUGCCUAUACUAGAAUUUCAUCCAAGUCAAAUUAUUGCUGAUCCAGGACUUAGAAUACCAAUAGAAGAUUAUGCCCCUGAAAUAAGAAGUGAUGUGAGAAGAGCUUAUUUGUUGAACAAGCGAAACAAAGCUAUUGGGCAUAAAUUCAAGAAGACAAAAGAUGGUAAAAUUUGGAGAUCCUUUCAGCGUGCGUGGUUUGACAAUUUUGAUUGGUUGGAAUAUAGUGUGGAUAAGGAGGCUGCGUUUUGCUUUCAUUGCUUCCUUUUCAAGAAACCAUCCCAAGCCAUUAGAUUUGGCAAUGAUGUUUUCACAAAAAAUGGGUACACUCGUUGGAAAACAGGUUUAACUAGUUUUGAAAAGCAUGUCGGUGGUCAAUCUAGUUACCACAACAUUGCUAGGGGAGAUUGUGAUGAUUUCAACAAUCAACGAGCAAGUGUGGCUACCAAAUUCCGAGUGUACAGCAAAGAGGCUGAGAUAUCUUAUAAAAUCCGCCUAACUGCACCAUUGGAUUGUGCAAGGUAUCUCAUAACACAAGGUGAAGCUUUUCGUGGGCAUGAUGAAUCCUCCACUUCCAUCAACAAGGGCAAUUUUAGAGAGUUAUUGGACUGGUAUAAGGACAAGAAGGAAGAUGUGAAGGAUGCAUUUGACAAGGGGGCUGGAAAUGCACAAAUGAUUUGUUCUGACAUCCAAAAGGACCUUGCUACAGCUUGUGCGAUGGAGGUAACCAGUAUUAAGAAAGACAUUGGAGAUAAGAAUUUCUCAAUACUUAUUGAUGAUGCUAGAGAUUGUUCAAUAAAGGAGCAAAUGGCGGUGAGUUUGAGAUUUCUAGAUGAUCAUGGAGUGCUCCAAGAGAGAUUCCUUGCCAUUAAGCACAUCACAUAUUGCACAUCUGCUGGAAUUAAAGAAGCUUUAGUUGAUGUGUUGGAAUAUCAUGGUUUGUCAAUUUCCAGGCUACGUGGUCAGGGUUAUGAUGGGGCUUCAAAUACGAGAGGGGAGUUCAAUGGUUUGCAAAAAUUGGUUAGAGAUGAAGCUCCGUAUGCAUUCUAUGUUCAUUGCUUUGCUCACCAGUUACAAUUGGUGGUUGUCACCGUUGCUCAAUGUUGUCCUGCUAUUGCUGAUUUCUUCAAUUAUAUUCCCUUGAUAGUGACUCAAGUGUGUUCAUCUUGUAAAAGGAAAGAUGCAUUACUUGCCAAACAUCAAGAUGAAUUGUUAGAUUUGAUGGAGAAUGGAAAGAUUUCAGCCGGUACUGGGUUGCAUCAAGAAUCUAACAUAACAAGAGGAGGAGAUACUUGUUGGGGCUCACACCUCAAAACCUUGCUUCGUAUAUUCACAAUGUGGAAUGCUGUGGUGGAUGUGCUAGGAAUUGUUGUGGCUGAUGCUCGGGAACACACAUGCCAAGGUGGAGCUAGAGGUUUGCUUAAAAACAUGGAAUGCUUUGAAUUUGUGUUCAUCAUGUUCUUCUUAAUAAACUUUAUGAGAAACACAAAUAAACUAUCCCAAGCUUUGCAAAGGAAUAAUCAAAAUAUUGUUGAGGCCAUGCGUUUGAUCUUGGAUGUGAAAGAAAGCUUGCAGGACAUGAGGGACAAUGGUUGGGAGCCUUUCUUUUGCCAAGCCAAGAACUUUUGUGAAACACAUGAUAUUGAUGUGCCAAACAUGGAUGAUCUUGUUGGAACAAUGGGCCAAUCCUCGGCUUCACUGUUACAAGGUUAG
RNAcentral lists this ribosomal RNA (1761 nucleotides) under Triticum aestivum (bread wheat). RNAcentral's name for it is "partial small subunit ribosomal RNA". Lineage: Eukaryota; Viridiplantae; Streptophyta; Magnoliopsida; Poales; Poaceae. The record is from RNAcentral.